GUUGUGGUGAGCCAAGAUCAUGCCACUGCACUCCAGCCUGGGUGACAGAGUGAGACUCCAUCUCCAAAAAAAGAAAAAAGAAAUCCCUGUUCAGAGAAGCCCUGGAUUGGUGGUAGCCUGCCUCUCCUCUGUAAUGACCACGUUGCAGCACUGGAGUAAGAUGCCCAUCUCACAUCACAAGAGAGAAACCAGGGAGCAAACAGGGAUGUCAGUGGGCUCUAACUUUCUCAAAAAAAAAAAAAAAAAAAAAAAAAAUAGAUCUUAUACCUAACUAUUCAUUUCCAGAUUAUCUGAGCCAAGAGUAAAAAGAAGAAAACCAUUUUGUGUAUGAUGGAUAAUUGCAUGGAAUGAAAAGGGGAAAUUUUAGGUUUAGGAGGAAAAAAAAGCCAAGUGAGAUAAAGGCAAUACAGAAGUGUCCUUAACGUCCCCCUGCGCUUCACACAGAGUGCUAAAGGAGGAGGAACCACUAGGUGGCAGCAUAUGAGCAGGUGAACCAAAGAAAACCAACUGCCUCCGGUUUUAGGGGCCUUUGCACCAAUACCAUCCCACAGCACCUGGCACCUCAGACAGGCUGCGAGGAUGGAAGCAGCAUCAGGUAAAUUAUACCUAACAAGGUUCAUGCCCAGAACUGUGAGAAGAGUUGGAUCCCAGCUCUUUGGAAGACAAUCCUUCCUCCAGUGGUGAAGUUGAGCUGCACACACAAUGCAGGAGGGCUACAGAGCACAGUUCUAAACCAUUAUUUCCAUGCUGAUAAAUUCAUGAUUUAUGAAAGAAACUACUGCCAGCCCUCACUCCCUCCUUCUCUGCUACAGCUUGUUAGACACAAAUUACAACAACAAUCUUAAAUACUUGCAUUUUAUUUCAGGCCAAAGCCCCUCCACUCUGAACUAAAUGCCAUGACAGUCCCACAGCAUAGGCUGGUAGUAAAAGAGCCCACAGACAGGGUAGGAUAGCCAGAGGAGGGAGGAGUGGGCGACAGGUAGGGGAAUAAUCACAUACGCAAACCUAAGAGUAAAGCAAUGCAGAAUGCCUGUGGCACUCGGCUCCUACCAGCUCUGGCUCUCAGUGGAGAUGAAGAAUGGCAGCAGGAGGAGAGAAUGCCUCAUUGUCUGAAGGAGAGCGUGUUGUUCC
Molecule: long non-coding RNA, 1131 nt
Organism: Rhinopithecus roxellana (golden snub-nosed monkey)
Lineage: Eukaryota; Metazoa; Chordata; Mammalia; Primates; Cercopithecidae
Exons: 2
Source: RefSeq, a predicted model, not a curated record